CUCCCUGAAGCGCAGAAGAUAGCGCGUUGGACUACUACUACAAAGAGCGUGGGUCCGAAUCCCACCUGGGAUA
Trichonephila clavata is the source of this 73-nucleotide non-coding RNA. Lineage: Eukaryota; Metazoa; Arthropoda; Arachnida; Araneae; Nephilidae. The record is from the annotation of a GenBank genome assembly.